AUUGAACGCUGGCGGCAGGCCUAACACAUGCAAGUCGAACGAGUGGCGGACGGGUGAGUAAUGACUGGGAAACUGCCUGAUGGAGGGGGAUAACUACUGGAAACGGUAGCUAAUACCGCAUACCAUCGGAUGUGCCCAGAUGGGAUUAGCUAGUAGGUGGGGUAACGGCGCACCUAGGCGACGACCCCUACCUGGUCUGAGAGGAUGACCAGCUAAACUGGAACGGAGAGACGGUCCAGACUCCUACGGGAGGCAGGAGUGGGGAAUAUUGCAAAAUGGGCGCAAGCCUGAGGAAGCCAUGCCGCGUGUAUGAAGAAGGCCUUCGGGUUGUAAAGUACUUUCAGCGGGGAGGCGUUACCCGCAGAAGAAGCACCGGCUAACUCCGUGCCAGCAGCCGCGGUAAUAC
Molecule: ribosomal RNA, 406 nt
Filed under: uncultured bacterium
Lineage: Bacteria
Description: partial 16S ribosomal RNA
Rfam family: Bacterial small subunit ribosomal RNA
Source: RNAcentral